UACGGAGGUUGCGAGCGUUGUUCGGAAUUACUGGGCGUAAAGGGAGCGCAGGCGGUUUGGUCAGUCUGAAGUGAAAGCCCGGGGCUUAACCCCGGAAGGGCUUUGGAUACUGCCAAACUUGAGUACGUGAGAGGAGAGCGGAAUUCCAGGUGUAGCGGUGAAAUGCGUAGAUAUCUGGAGGAACACCGGUGGCGAAAGCGGUUCUCUGGCACGGUACUGACGCUGAGGCUCGAAAGCGUGGGGAGCGAACGGGAUUAGAUACCCCUGUA
Molecule: ribosomal RNA, 269 nt
Filed under: uncultured prokaryote
Description: partial 16S ribosomal RNA
Rfam family: Bacterial small subunit ribosomal RNA
Source: RNAcentral